RNAcentral lists this ribosomal RNA (460 nucleotides) under uncultured bacterium. Its description in RNAcentral is "partial 16S ribosomal RNA". It matches the Rfam family "Bacterial small subunit ribosomal RNA", at positions 338 to 795 of the family's 1533-position model. The record is from RNAcentral.
CCUACGGGAGGCAGCAGUGAGGAAUAUUGGUCAAUGGGCGGGAGCCUGAACCAGCGAAGUCGCGUGAGGGAAGACGGUCCUAUGGAUGGUAAACCUCUUUAGGCGGGGAGCAAUGCCGGGCAAGCGUGCCCGGAGGGAGAGUACCUGCAGAAUAAGCAUCGGCUAACUACGUGCCAGCAGCCGCGGUAAUACGGAGGAUGCGAGCGUUAGCCAGAUUUAUUGGGCUUAAAGGAUUCGUAGGCGGAUUUUUAAGUCAGCGGUAAAAUGUCCGGGCUCAACCCGGGCCGGCCGUUGAAACUGGCGAUCUUGAGUGGGCGAGAAGUAUGCGGAAUGCGGGGUGUAGCGGUGAAAUGCAUAGAUAUCACGCAGAACUCCGAUUGCGAAGGCAGCAUACCGGCGCCCGACUGACGCUGAGGCACGAAAGCGUGGGGAUCGAACAGGAUUAGAUACCCUGGUAGUC